Acinonyx jubatus (cheetah) is the source of this 3512-nucleotide long non-coding RNA. RefSeq lists it as uncharacterized. The record is from RefSeq and is a predicted model, not a curated record. Lineage: Eukaryota; Metazoa; Chordata; Mammalia; Carnivora; Felidae. The transcript is spliced from 7 exons.
UCUAAAUGAUUAAAAGCUAUUUUCCACUGCUGUUGCCAGCCAUAUUUCAGAAUGAUUUUAUAAUCAGUAUAAGAACAUUUAUUUUUAAAUAAAUGACCAAUGAGUUAAAUUGAUCAAUUUUAAUUACUUCCAUUUGUGUUUUUUUCCCCCCAAACCAUAUAUCUAAUAUUUACUAUUAAAGUUACUAUUAAAGCUAUGGUUGAGUCAAAAAUGAGAAUGAGUUACCUGAAAUACUGGUUAAUCCCUGUUUCUUCUCAUUUUUGAGACAUGUGGAGCAUGUAUAGGAGAGCUCUUUUUCAAGCCUAGCCACAAUGCCAAGCACCAAAGAAAACACAGGUUUCAGGAAACAUAUCUGCCAAUGAUUUCUGUGGGGCAUAACAGAACUUCUCAAAAGGCCUCAACAUAUGGAAUUCCAUGCUGCUGUGCAGAUAGCCUGGCAGGAGAGAUCUGGUGUGUGAGGGUCUGAGUCCUCCAGUGGAGAAUGAGGAGUUGUCCAGCUUCCUCCAGGCCUGCAGAGUGGACGUCUGGGGCCAGAUUGAUUUGCUGCUGCCGCUCUGUGCUUGAACACCUAUUCCGGUAAUUAAGCUGAAACCAUGGCAUGACUUGAUUUAGAGAGACGGAUGUUAGCUGCUUAGAUCAGCACGUUCCAGGAACCUUCCAUGAAAUGAUUUUCCUACAAACCGCCAUCACUUUAAGAAACUCUCAGAGGUGAUAACCCUAAACACCUAUUUAACAACCAAGUUGUCACGAAGAUAGUACAAAUCAAGAAGAAGAAAAAAAGAGCAUAGUUUCAGAGGGAAUAUUGGAUGCAAUUAAAGUUAUUGGUGAUUCACUUACCAUGGGGCAGGGAGAACCAAAGCACAAAGCAUUGCAAACUGUAACAUAACACAGACAGCAAGACAAUCCAAGGAGGAUCCCAUUAAACGCUGGUAUAAUUGAAGAUCACUGAAGAAUCCAAUGUGACUUACAGGAAAGUAUAUGGGGAACAAGCAGAGUUCUGCCAGGACAUCCGCUCCAGGAUGAGGAGGGACAACAUGGAAAUGAAUGAAGCCAGUGCACUAGGUGGAACAUUCAUGCAUCUGAAAGCCAGAUCUGAGGGAAAGUGUGACAUGAAAGCAAACAUGUGACGUCAUAGAAGACAAAAAAUACUGAAGGGCAUCUUGUACUACAAAUGUCUUCUGUUCAGCUGAGCACCCCCUGAUAAAUCAUGGUGUGAGUUCAUCCUCAUAAAACUAUGUAAAUCUAAGAUUUAGGAUGAAUACUAAGAUUUCCAAGAGUGAUGAACAUUUAUUUUGCAAUGGAUGCUGCCAAUGGCCAGAUUUGUGCAAGAAUGAUGAAGAGAGGAUCUGAGUCUGUUAGCCAUACAAUUUUUUAUUGUCAAGGUUCAUUUCUUUAGAAUACUUUCAUAAGAUACAUGAAUGUAACUGACACAAAAGUGUUUUUUUUUUAAUCAUUAACUUUCUGAUUCACAUAUGACUUUCAUAGCUCAAUGCGAUCAUUUUAUUUUCACAUUCUUCUCUGCCCACUACCUGGGGAGAUUCUAAAUUCCUUCCAUUUACUUAAGGCUUAUUUUAAGCAAUUUUGCUCUUGACUCUAUGGUGCUGGCUCCUUCUGACUCUGAUCCAUUCAGGAGUGCAGCUGAUCUGGACUCUGUUCUAAAACAAUCCCAUAAGAUUUUGCCAGUGGCUGAAAUCCAGUUCUUCCACUUGCCUUAUCCUUGACCUUUACCUAUUUGGAGAUCUGAAGCUGGAGGCCAGUCCCAUGUGAUUUUUGAGUGGUUCCUCAACCAUGUUCUUGUGAGCAAUGCUUGAAUCCAGACCUCUUCCCCACAUACGGUGGGUGCCCCGCUCUCCUGCCAAUGUGAUUGGCCAUGUGGAAUGCAGUCUUGUUCCUGCUCCCUUAACAUAGUCACUGAUGAAGCCCUUGGUGACUGACUGAGGUGAUCCAGUUUGAUAUUCUGCUGUGAGCUAAGUGCUGCAGAGUAUAUAUCCUUCCUUUGAUUCAGAUAAGAUCCUUCCUUAAUCCAGAAUCAAGUCAUUUGAUUCUUCCUCUAUUUUCACUGGUGGUGAAACAAACAAAUAAAAAAAGGUCCUCUGGUAUGCAGUUCAAAGGCUUUGAAGUGGUGAAAAGGAUAUAUUUGGCGUUGUGGAAUUCUGAAUUAUAAAAAAAGAAAUACAAGUGAAAAAACUGCAAAAUAUGUUUUGCAUAUAAUAUAUUUUGUGAUAAAUAUCAACAACUUUUAGGAACUUGGAAAUUCCCAAUAAAUGACUAUCACAGAUGGUUCUAUAAUCUGGUUGGUCACUUUUAUCAGUGUCCAAGUUGGUAGCUAACCUGGUUAUGAAUUUUAACUUUGCUACCGUGUGCAUGUGUAUUUAUAUAUUUUUUAAAAAAAUUCAGGACUACAUGACUAUAACUUUCAUAUUAAUAUGCAAUAUUAUUAAAAGUCAAAAAAUCAAACUCAGAAGCAAUCAGGCAAUAAUUCUACCUAACAUAAAACAAUGGUUUUGAUAAUUAUUAUAAACUAUCCCUCCUGAAUUAAACUGUAGAUGUUCACAGGAGAAUACUCACGAGAUUUAUUGAAGCAGAUAAUUCCAUUAUAUUAGUAUAGAAAUAGGAAGCUGGAAAAGGGGACAAAAGUGUCAAUCAAUAUGUGUGCAUGGAGACAUUGCAGAAUUUUUGCAUGUAUUUUUGCCCAGUAAUAGAUUUUGAAGGUUAUUUAUAAACCUGAAGGUGUUUUUCUUUUAAAUUCCUUUAUUUGCAAAAGAGAAAUGAUGUAAAUUGUUUCACAUCAUAAAAUAGUACAUCAUAUUUUUCUUUAAAAUAGAAUCCCUUGAUUAUAAGAAAUUGUAAAAAAAAAAACAAACACCUCCAAUUACCUAUCUGGUGCUGAUUCCCAACUUGGCCUUCCCUUACUUUUUUGGUUUCUCUCUUCUGAAUAUAUUCUAGUUUGUUUUUGUCUCAAGCUAUGGUACUCACAACCUAACCCAAUUCUCCAGGUGCAAAUUGGCAACUACAGAGAAGAAAGCAACUGUCUUCUUUCUUUUUUCUUUCAUUUAUUCUUUUUUUUGCAUCUUUCCUUUCUACCUUCUUUCCUUCCAUUCUUCCUUUGGCAAAUACUGAGAGUAUAAUCUAUAUUUGGCACUGUAUUAGGUGCUGGAGAUAAAAAUGAGCAAAAAAAACCAUGGCCACUACUUUCAUAGAGCUUAUAAUCUAGUGAAGGAUACAGAGAAGAACAAAUGAUCUGACAAAUAAAUGUAAUAUUGCCUCUGUAAUAAGUCCUAAGAAAAGGUAUACAGUCUUAUGAAAACCUGUAGUUAGAGGAUUUGAGAUAAUCAGGGAGCUCAAAGAGACUUCUCUUGAGCAGGAUGCUGAAAGAAGGAUAGAGCUAAGAGGGUGAUGAGAAGACAGAAGAUUGUCUUGGAGACAAGCAUAUGCAGUGGGAAUGGGUAGGAAAAACCCUUGUGAAGGUAUGAGGUAUGGAAAGAAGUCCAACACAAAUGGAGCAAAGAAAG